This 528-nucleotide ribosomal RNA is filed under the name bacterium enrichment culture clone Cont67_3130. Its description in RNAcentral is "bacterial SSU rRNA". It matches the Rfam family "Bacterial small subunit ribosomal RNA", at positions 8 to 525 of the family's 1533-position model. The record is from RNAcentral.
AGAGUUUGAUCAUGGCUCAGGACGAACGCUGGCGGCGUGCUUAACACAUGCAAAGUCGAACGGUGACCUCGGAGCUUGCUCCGGGUGAUCAGUGGCGAACGGGUGAGUAACACGUGAGCAACCUGCCCCCGACUCUGGGAUAACCCCGGGAAAUCGGAGCUAAUACCGGAUACGAGACGUACAGGCAUCUGUUGCGUCUGGAAAGAAUUUCGGUCGGGAUGGGCUCGCGGCCUAUCAGCUAGUUGGUGGGGUAGUGGCCUACCAAGGCGACGACGGGUAGCCGGCCUGAGAGGGCGACCGGCCACACUGGGACUGAGACACGGCCYAGACUCCUACGGGAGGCAGCAGUGRGGAAUAUUGCGCAAUGGGGGCAACCCUGACGCAGCGACGCCGCGUGGAUGAUGAAGGCCCUUGGGUMGUAAAAUCCUGUCAGAUGGAAAGAAAUGUACAGGUGUUAAUAUCGCCUGGUAUUUGACGGUACCAUCAAAGGAAGCACCGGCUAACUCCGUGCCAGCMGCCGCGGUAAUA